Molecule: ribosomal RNA, 439 nt
Filed under: uncultured bacterium
Lineage: Bacteria
Description: partial 16S ribosomal RNA
Rfam family: Bacterial small subunit ribosomal RNA
Source: RNAcentral
CUACGGGAGGCUCCAGUGGGGAAUAUUGGACAAUGGAGGAAACUCUGAUCCAGCCAUGCCGCGUGAGUGAAGAAGGCCUUAGGGUUGUAAAACUCUUUCAAUAGGGAAGAUAAUGACGGUACCUAUAUAAGAAGCCCCGGCUAACUCCGUGCCAGCAGCCGCGGUAAUACGGAGGGGGCUAGCGUUAUUCGGAAUUACUGGGCGUAAAGCGCGCGUAGGCUGCUCAGAAAGUCAGGGGUGAAAGCCCGGAGCUCAACUCCGGAAUUGCCUUUGAAACUACUGGGCUAGAAUCUGUUAGAGGAUGGUGGAAUUCCUAGUGUAGAGGUGAAAUUCGUAGAUAUUAGGAGGAACACCAGUGGCGAAGGCGACCAUCUGGGACAGUAUUGACGCUGAGGUGCGAAAGCGUGGGGAGCAAACAGGAUUAGAUACCCCCGUAGUC